Non-coding RNA from Notechis scutatus (mainland tiger snake), 236 nucleotides. The record is from RefSeq and is a predicted model, not a curated record. Lineage: Eukaryota; Metazoa; Chordata; Lepidosauria; Squamata; Elapidae.
GUAGCAAGGGCAGCUGGGGCGGCCUGGGAGUCGGCACUUGACUGGGGCUGGCAGUAGUGGUGGCAGGAGGAGGUAGGGGACCAGCGGGGCUUGCUACCUUUGCCUCCUCACUCACCAAUUAGUGGUGGGAAGGCAAGGCAGCAACAAUGGAGGUCUGCAGGUGGCAGAAGGAAGGCAGCGACGACUGGCUGGCUGGCUGGCUGGCUCGGCUGCUGCUGCUGCUGCUGCUGCUGUUG